CCUACGUGAGGCAGCAGUGGGGAAUAUUGCGCAAUGGGCGAAAGCCUGACGCAGCGACGCCGCGUGAGGGAUGAAGGUCUUCGGACCGUAAACCUCUGUCAGCAGGGAAGAACGGUCACUGUGCUAAUCAGCAGUGAAUUGACGGUACCUGCAAAGGAAGCACCGGCUAACUCCGUGCCAGCAGCCGCGGUAAUACGGAGGGUGCGAGCGUUAAUCGGAAUUACUGGGCGUAAAGCGCUCGUAGGCGGUAUGUCAAGUCAAGGGUGAAAUCCCCGGGCUCAACGUGGGAACUGCCUUUGAAACUGGCAAACUGGAGUGUGUGAGAGGAUAGUGGAAUGCCAGGUGUAGGAGUGAAAUCCGUAGAUAUCUGGAGGAACAUCAGUGGCGAAGGCGACUAUCUGGCACAUAACUGACGCUGAGGAGCGAAAGCGUGGGUAGCAAACAGGAUUAGAUACCCCUGUAGUC
This 465-nucleotide ribosomal RNA is filed under the name uncultured bacterium. Its description in RNAcentral is "partial 16S ribosomal RNA". It matches the Rfam family "Bacterial small subunit ribosomal RNA", at positions 338 to 795 of the family's 1533-position model. The record is from RNAcentral.